CGCGUAGGCGGCCAAUUAAGUCAAAUGUGAAAUCCCCGAGCUUAACUUGGGAAUUGCAUUCGAUACUGGUUGGCUAGAGUGUGGGAGAGGAUGGUAGAAUUCCAGGUGUAGCGGUGAAAUGCGUAGAGAUCUGGAGGAAUACCGAUGGCGAAGGCAGCCAUCUGGCCUAACACUGACGCUGAGGCACGAAAGUGUGGGGAUCAAACAGGAUUCGAUACCCCAGUA
RNAcentral lists this ribosomal RNA (225 nucleotides) under uncultured Acinetobacter sp. Its description in RNAcentral is "partial 16S ribosomal RNA". It matches the Rfam family "Bacterial small subunit ribosomal RNA", at positions 568 to 792 of the family's 1533-position model. Lineage: Bacteria; Pseudomonadati; Pseudomonadota; Gammaproteobacteria; Moraxellales; Moraxellaceae. The record is from RNAcentral.